RNAcentral lists this small RNA (962 nucleotides) under Oryza sativa Japonica Group (Japanese rice). Its description in RNAcentral is "sRNA Os02g0557150". Lineage: Eukaryota; Viridiplantae; Streptophyta; Magnoliopsida; Poales; Poaceae. The record is from RNAcentral.
GCCAUCUUUCGGAAUUCCUCAUUUUCUUGUUGGGCCUUCUCGAGGCGCUUUUUGAGCUUGCGGAUCUCCUCAUCUGAUCGGAGCCUAGCUUCAGCUGCCAACCUCUCUGCUUCUAGCCUUGCAUUCUGUUCUUCCAUGAGUUGCUGUUGCAGCUUGUCAACAGUGAUAUUCAGCUUUUCCUCCACCUAUGAACAUGUGAACUGUUCAUCCCGAGUUCUCUGGAUCUCCUUUUUCAAUUCAGAUAUUUGCUCUUCUGUAUAUCCAAUAGCAUCAUGCACCUCCUGUUCUCUGGCAUUACUAUUACCUUAAUGCAAGCGAGCAUUUGAUCUGAAAAUGGCUUUCCUCCAUUAUUUGUAUUCACAGAGUCAACAACAUCAAGCAAAUUUUCAAGUUGCUUCUCUUGGAGCCAUCGGUCCUUGGUCAUAUUAUCAAAGAGAACAACUCUGUUUUUGCAUAGCUCAACAGUUUUCUAUACUCUGGGGCAUUAUUCAGCAUGCUCUUCAAUUUAUUUUCACCAACUAAAUCUCCAUAAGUAAAUACUAGUAUCAUGUGAUCAACAAUCUUCUCUCCGAAAAACUCUUUAAUUGUCUCAAUGGUACUGGAAUCUUCUCGAGUAAAACGAGAUGUGGCAGAAAAAACCAUCAGCACUGCAUGUAUCCCAUCCUUGGCCAUACUCAUACACUUAACAAUUUCUUUACCGGCAUCCUCAGAUGUAAUGGUCAUUUCAAAUAAUCCUGGCGUAUCAAUAACAUUGAGGGUACGGCCAUCCUUUAGCGCGGUGCUGGCCAAUUGACAAGUACUGGUCACACUAGCAUGGGAGUACUCUGAUACAAAUGCUUCUCUUCCAACGAUGCUAUUGCCAGUUGCGCUCUUGCCACAGCCAAGUUUGCCGCAAAGAACUACAGUGAUGUCAGCGCUAGGCAACUCCCAGUCAUCAUCGUAUUCGCUUCCUCCCAUUGCAA